UACGUAGGGGGCAAGCGUUGUCCGGAUUUAUUGGGCGUAAAGAGCGUGUAGGCGGCUUUACAGGUCCGUUGUGAAAACUCGAGGCUCAACCUCGAGACGCCGGUGGAAACCGUAAAGCUAGAGUCCGGAAGAGGAGAGUGGAAUUCCUGGUGUAGCGGUGAAAUGCGUAGAUAUCGGAAGGAACAUCAGUGGCGAAAGCGACUUCCUGGCCUGUUCUUGACGCUGAGGCGCGAAAGCUAGGGGAGCGAACGGG
This 253-nucleotide ribosomal RNA is filed under the name uncultured bacterium. RNAcentral describes it as "partial 16S ribosomal RNA". It matches the Rfam family "Bacterial small subunit ribosomal RNA", at positions 524 to 776 of the family's 1533-position model. The record is from RNAcentral.